UGCCAGCAGCCGCGGUAAUACGUAGGGGGCAAGCGUUAUUCGGAAUGACUGGGCGUAAAGGGUACGUAGGCGGUUUGGUCAGUUAGAUGUGAAAGCCCAGGGCUCAACCUUGGAACUGCAUUUAAUACUGCCAGACUUGAGAUCGGAAGAGGAAAGCGGAAUUUCUAGUGUAGAGGUGAAAUUCGUAGAUAUUAGAAGGAACAUCAGAGGCGAAGGCGGCUUUCUGGUCCGAUACUGACGCUGAGGUACGAAAGCGUGGGGAGCAAAGAGGCUAAGAUA
RNAcentral lists this ribosomal RNA (279 nucleotides) under uncultured bacterium. RNAcentral's name for it is "partial 16S ribosomal RNA". It matches the Rfam family "Bacterial small subunit ribosomal RNA", at positions 506 to 784 of the family's 1533-position model. The record is from RNAcentral.